GCCGCUGAAGCAGUUGCUUUAGCAAAGGCUGCAUUGAAGGGUGCACAAGAUGCUGUAAUGCUGGUCGGCUAUAAUAAUUUAAAGGACUCCGAUAAUGUCGGCAGAGGUACUCUAUCAGAAGCUAGGACUGCUCCAUUUGAGAGUGUUCAUCUGGCUCAACCUGGUGAGACAAGGGGAGUUGGUGUUUGUGCAGAAUUAAAUGGAAGUGAGAUGAAGUGGACUGGAAGUAGUUUAUUCCGGGACACACUUACAGAUUCUGAUGACUUGGAGCCAUCACAUGAAGAACUGGAAAUUCUUCAGUCACAGCUGUCGAAUGUCAUAGCUGUAAAAUCAAAUCGUCAAACUGAGCGGAAGGCCAGAAGAGCUAAAGCAGUAGAGAGG
RNAcentral lists this unclassified non-coding RNA (381 nucleotides) under Hevea brasiliensis (rubber tree). The record is from RNAcentral. Lineage: Eukaryota; Viridiplantae; Streptophyta; Magnoliopsida; Malpighiales; Euphorbiaceae.